CAGAGGUAGAAAUCUGACCACUAUAGCGACGCAACGAAUAUGAAGCUAGUUUUGGGGCUCGCGCUUUUAGCGUUUUUUGACGUCUACCUAACGGCAGCGUCACCAGAGCCUAAUCGGAUUCCACAUGGACUUCAUGUCGUUCGAGAGUUCAAUGGCGGCCGCCGCAGGGAGGAGCACCGCCACGUCGAACGCAAGGAGGUCGAGGAGGAACAAGACUUCCAAGAGACAGAAGUGAAA
Long non-coding RNA from Cydia splendana, 237 nucleotides. RefSeq lists it as uncharacterized. The record is from RefSeq and is a predicted model, not a curated record. NCBI's taxonomy places the organism in Eukaryota, Metazoa, Arthropoda, Insecta, Lepidoptera, Tortricidae. The transcript is spliced from 4 exons.